GGGAUACAUUAAAAUAUAUUUGGAUGCUUAUUUGAAAAAAAAGAAGAAAUAUUUAGUACAUGUGUUUUUCAGUUAUAUGCUGUAUAUGAUCCCUAUGCUGGUUACUUAUCGAUCAUGUUCACCCAGAUACGCAUCCACUUGGGAACGUUCAUCUUUGUGAUGAUGUUUCUUACAGUGUCUCCGUUAUCUAAUCACCAUGCACUUGUGAAAGUAUACGAUCCCGUCAUGCUCAUCUGCAACAGUACAUGUUCGGGUGAUGUUUCAUGGAUGUUCUCGGUGCGGACUGAAAUACUUGUGAGUGAAUGUAAGAGGAGCACUUGUGUUGAAGGCAACGGUUUCGAGAACCGAACGAGGUUUGUGCAUGGAGGACCAUCUCUUCAACUCAACCCUGUCAUGUACAACGACAAGGGCUGGUACGUCUGCUACUGCGACAAAGCCGAGAUAUGCAAAUUUCAUCUUGACGUAGUUUUCGCUACUCUGAAAAGCGUUUGCGUCAGAGAGAAUGUGACUCUCCCCUGCUACGCUAACACAGACAAGCGUAUCCCUGACGAAAACAUCAACGUUCAGUGGGAAAAAGAUGAUCAACCUUUCGUGACGCUUCAGCGCGGGAAGAUGAGCUACGGUCCAGGUUUCGAAGGUCACGGCUUCAUUACGGCGAGCCAGUAUAAAAAUGGAGAUCUGUCCCUGACCAUCCCCAAGGUCCAGCAGUCUGACGGAGGGAUAUAUCGCUGUAGACACAGACACGAGGAACCGGGUCAACCCGAAGCCGUCGAUCUCAGGAUCAGUGAGUCUUCAGAGUGUGGAGCAGUAAAGCAGUCCACUUUUUCCAUGGUGGGGAGUUCUGCUGGUGGUUGUUUCCAUUGUGGUUAUUUUUUGUGCUGUUGGAGUUUUCUACUAAUAUUUUACACAUAUAUUGAAUUGUCGGAAAAUACUACAGCGCUAUAUCGAUGAAGAAAAUUACAUGCUGGGUUAAUCGAAUGGUAAAUCAUAGUUUGGAAGCGCAGGUGGUGCACGUAGAUAAGAUUUCUGAGCAGUUUGCAGAGAGAAGAAAAGAAGAUGAACACCGGAUGAGCAACAGGGCUUGCAACUCUCACAACUUCUACCACUAAUAAGAAAAGGAAGCUGUCACUGUGACAGCUGGAGAGUUGGAAUCACAAAACGAACAGGACUGAAAGUUCAAACAACAGUCUGAACAGAUCGGAGCUGUAAAAUUGGGAAUGAGCAUUGAAUGUAGAAUGAAUUCAUUGUGAGAAUAGAAACCAACUCUGGCUGCAUCUGAAAAAUACAAAAUCCAUGUACUAUUGGGUUUUGACUAGAGAUGCACCGAUGUAUCGGUUAUUUUUCCCGCUACCUGCUUUCGGCCGAUAGUUUAAAAACAUCAGGACCGAUUAUAUCCUGUCAAUCAAAAGAGGGCGGGAAAACUCAUUGAUUUCGUGCUGUGUGUAAAGAUGAUGUCUCUUGUGUGGAAUGAUGACAAAACUGCAGUUUGUAAUCUCUGCUAAAAUUUUACACCAGGAGUGAGCAGCAGAGAAGCCUUCUCGCGUUGAAUUAAAGGGCCAGUACACC
This is a long non-coding RNA of Ictalurus punctatus (channel catfish), 1566 nucleotides long. The record is from Ensembl. Lineage: Eukaryota; Metazoa; Chordata; Actinopteri; Siluriformes; Ictaluridae.